CCUACGGGUGGCAGCAGUGAGGAAUAUUGGUCAAUGGGCGGGAGCCUGAACCAGCCAAGCCGCGUGAGGGAAGAAGGUACAGCGUAUCGUAAACCUCUUUUGUCAGGGAACAAAGGCGGGGACUAGUCCCCGGAUGAGGGUACCUGAAGAAAAAGCAUCGGCUAACUCAGCGCCAGCAGCCGGGGUAAUACGGAGGAUGCGAGGGUUAUCCGGAUUUAUUGGGGUAAAGGGGUGCGCAGGCGGCCUGUUAAGCCGGCGGGAAAAGCCCGGGGCUCAACCCCGGCGAGCCGUUGAAACUGGGGGGAUGGAGUUGGAGAGAGGUAGGCGGAAUGCGCGGUGUAGCGGUGAAAUGCGUAGAUAUCGCGCAGAACCCCGAUUGCGAAGGCAGCGUACCGGCUCCACACUGACGCUGAGGCACGAAAGCGUGGGUAUCGAACAGGAUUAGAUACCCUGGUAGUC
Molecule: ribosomal RNA, 459 nt
Filed under: uncultured bacterium
Lineage: Bacteria
Description: partial 16S ribosomal RNA
Rfam family: Bacterial small subunit ribosomal RNA
Source: RNAcentral